UUGUUGUAUGAAAGGAGAGAAGGUUACACUCCCUUUGCCAAGGUCCUUGGGCCUGUACGCCACAGGUACAGUAAGAUACUGCACCAAUUUUGUGGCUUCUCAUCAUGGCUAGGUUUUGUU
Neogale vison (American mink) is the source of this 120-nucleotide small nuclear RNA. Lineage: Eukaryota; Metazoa; Chordata; Mammalia; Carnivora; Mustelidae. The record is from Ensembl.